CUUAUUUAUCUGUUGGUGCUUCUCUUCUCGUUUUCUCUCCUGUGCAAUCCCUAAUUUUUCUCUCUUUCCACUUCUCUUAUCGUUUUCUCCACUACCAAGCUCCAAAAUCCUUUCUUCUCCACUUUUCUGUCUUUAUUUUUCUUUCCCUUCUUAACUUUCCCUAACCCUUCCUCUGCCGUCUCUUAUGCACGCGAAUCAGAUGAACUCAAUCAAUGAAACACAAAAAGCGAAACCCUACGCCGCGCACGAAACAACCGACAUGGCAUGCGAGUGAUGUCCACAGCCUUCCGCUGCCAGCGAUGUCCGCGGAGCCGCCGACUGUGCCCUCGCCGCCACGGCCUAAGGCCGUAGUCGCUAGAGCCGCGCGAUUCUCGCCGGUGGAAGGGGAGGCACCACAUGAAGGCCAGGAAGUCCCGCCUGAAUUGAUGAAGAAGAGGGCACCGGAGAUUCGGAGAAUGGCCCCGCCGCUGCAGAAGAAGGCGCGCUCUCUCGGACGGUUAAUCCCCAGUUGCCGGAAGGUGUUGUUCCCCGAAGCUUCUAGAAGAAGCCGGUGAUUAUAUCUGUGUCUUGGAGAUGCAAGUGUGAGCCUUCAUCAUCAAAUUUUUUGCCGAUUGGGUGCUAACUUCCUUACAUUCCCUUUUUCAUUGCUUGUUUUUGUUUUUUGGGAUUUCUCAGUAAUUAUGUUAUGGUAUUGUGUAGGUCAUCUGAUGCACACUAGUUAUCUACUGAGAAGAGCAAGUAAUUGGAGGUUCUACUAAGUUUUAGUACCAGUUCACACAGAGUUUCAUUUUUUUUUGCUGCAGCUGUCCUACAGUUGUAGUUUUUAUCUUUUAUUAAUAUGUUAUUUAUAAUUGUACAUUAAUUUAAAUUUAAAUGUUACUUGAUUGUAGACUUUCUUUGUUUCAGGACAUUAUAGCAAAGUUAUUUUCAUUUUCACAGCAGAGGUCAAGGGCUUUGUGCAGCUAAACUGGAAUUGGGACUGUUUCUUCUGUUUCUCUGCGCCAGCCAGCUUCUACUAGCAUCAGUGUUUCUUAUGAGGUGAAUGUCUCAUCAGGAACUUCAUCAACAUCCAUGCCUCAUUUCUUAAUAGAGCCCCUUCCAAACCAAAGGAAUAAUAAUGACAGUAGUGUGCCUGUGAGACCAACUGAUAAGAUAUCUAGAGGUGCAAAAGCAAUUCUUGAGGACAUCAAAAGGGAAUAAAGAGAACAUGUGAAGAAGGAACCAUAUCACCACAUGCAGAGACAAUAGCGUUGUCAACUGUUUCAGAAUCAGAAGAUGGUGAAGCUCAAAUAUGUUUACCAUUUUCAGUUGUGAAUAUAGAACUGGAAAUCAUUGAAGAUGUUGGUGUUGGAGACAUUCAAGAAGCUUAUCCAGGUUAUUAGAAGAUCUCUUUUACUUUUUGUUAUCUUCAUAUUGUUCUAAGAGAGAUGACAUGAAUUUUAUCACUUGAAUGUGUUUUUAUUGUUUUUCUUUUGAAUGACAUUUAUGGUUACCUUUCCCUUCCUUUUAAGAUAAACUUGCUUAGAUCACUUAAGCCACUCUGAAUUUGUUGAAUUGUUAAAAGAUCUGCCUAA
Vigna angularis (adzuki bean) is the source of this 1574-nucleotide long non-coding RNA. RefSeq lists it as uncharacterized. The record is from RefSeq and is a predicted model, not a curated record. Lineage: Eukaryota; Viridiplantae; Streptophyta; Magnoliopsida; Fabales; Fabaceae. The transcript has 6 exons.